RNAcentral lists this ribosomal RNA (253 nucleotides) under uncultured bacterium. RNAcentral describes it as "partial 16S ribosomal RNA". It matches the Rfam family "Bacterial small subunit ribosomal RNA", at positions 524 to 776 of the family's 1533-position model. The record is from RNAcentral.
UACGGAGGGUGCAAGCGUUGUUCGGAAUCACUGGGCGUAAAGGGCGCGUAGGCGGCUUCAUUAGUCCGAUGUGAAAGCCCGGGGCUCAACCCCGGAAGUGCAUUGGAAACUGUGAGGCUUGAGUUCGGGAGAGGAAGGCAGAAUUCCCGGUGUAGGGUUGAAAUCCGUAGAUAUCGGGAGGAAAACCGGUGGCGAAGGCGGCCUUCUGGAACGAAACUGACGCUGAGGCGCGAAAGCGUGGGGAGCAAACAGG